UUGGGAUCCAAGCUACCCCAAGACGAGCCCAGAAUUAUCGCCCCUUCGCACCAAGCUGAGCUCGGUAACUGCCCUCUCCAGUCCCUGCGUUUUUCUUUCAAGCCCCAAUCACAACUUUGAUUUUCGCCUGCCAAGGAUCAGCUAAAUAAAAGGAAAAGGAGGGGGGGAAAAGGAAGAAGCAGCAGCGGUAUUACCCACCAGCUUCGGAGUCGUAGGCAUCCUUUGCUGAAGGCAACUAGCAUUUUGUGAGACUCCACGAGGGACCACAAACACAGGUGGCUCUGGCCGCACCAAGGAACGAAGCGAAACAUUUCUCACCGGCCCAGCCACUAGUUCAGUUGCAGUGAGGAUGUCUCGAUGCAGAUUAGGAACCGGCAGUCACAGCAGUGAAAUAGACUAUUUUCCCCAUUGACAUGCUGAGCUGCUUUCUGGAGUUUUAAGGUGUUGGGUGCUGAUACGGUGAGUGCCUCUUGUAUCUGUUUAAUCCAAUAACAUAACUCUUUUUUAAUCUCCAUGUCUGGGUCACAGGGUUUAAAAAAGACACUGGGCCAAAUCCCCAGCUUGGCUACAACGUGUGGAAAUCUACCAAGAAGGCACGGAAGUCAGAAGAGAUUCACCGUAUUUGCAUCCUGUAAAAGAGGUCUCGAGGGGCAGGGAUGCAAGUGCCUGAUUUCGCAGAUGGGUGCAUAUUAACAUGAGUGUAUGGCAGAGUUAGAUCAGAUUUCUAUCAGGUGAGGUGGAUGGAGGGAGGGAUAUCACACCAGGAUCUAAAAUAAGCUCAUCAGCAAAUUCUCAUUCAUUUUAAAUUCGGAAUGGAUUCAAUAUUUCUUGCUUUUUUUCAGGAAAACACACUCGUUUCUUUUCAAUGUGUGGCUGCUAAAGGGAACAUAGUGUUUCAUGGACUCAGGACCAAGGCAGGGCAAGAACAAGAGGAAGGUUUUGCAGGGACUGGGAAGAUUUUACAUAUAAACAUCAAAAUAAAAAAAGCAAAAUUUAUCCAGGCAUAAAGUCCAGCAGAAAUCCAGGGGACAAGUGGACACCACUGCCUGUAAAGAAGGGUAUAAGCAAGAAUGGAGGAAAGAUGCUCUGAGUAAGUCCAUCACAUUAAUGAUUCUCCAAACACGGAUUUCCUUUACAAAGCUAUAUGGGAGUAAUCUUCUGGGUUCCCCUCUAUGGCAAAGGGUCCUGAGCUUGAAAAAGGGAGGCAGAUUUUGUGAGGGGUUUGCACAUCAUGCAGUGACUCUGGAUUGCAGAUUUUGAGCAUUACUAAACCGGGGAACAGAAUUGUUGCUAUUGCUAUUACAUACCAGGAUAUCUCACUAAUCCACACAAUCCACUAAGUUGCUGUAGUUUUAGUCUGUGUUUAUUUUAGAUGAAAUUAUGGCCUGUACAGGUCAUUUUUCUUAGUUUACCCAUUUAAAUAAUGUAUAAAUAAGAUAUCAAACAGAAAUCAAAACAUGACCUGUGCUUUUGGUACACUCCCCAUCGUGUGAACCUGCCGAUGAUGGAGCCUUGCACCCAGUUUACAAGUCAAACACAAAGGCAACUAAAAACCACAGGUCAUCUUGAAAAGUAGCCCCACUGGCAUGAAAUUCUCUGAUUUUAGUGCUGUGGGUGGCCUAUUUUGCUUAUAUUUGAGACUGCCUAGCCAUUAUGGGAUUGCCUCCACCAGUCCUUUCCUUACAUCAAGUUAAUUACAUAUUAACUUGAGGCACUUAGCAAGUCUGAAAGGCUGGAGCAGGUCCUUUCUGAACACCAGUCGAGUUUAGAAAUGCCUGUUCAUUUACAGGGGCUGAUUCCUAAAGUGAGGGGCAAACCCCGCAGAACCGAAGAGCCUGGAACCAAAGUGGUCACACUGGCUUUUGGAGAAAGUGAAGUGUCUCAAGUUAAUUGGCAGUCAUUUACCUGGAAACAAAAAACUCUCAUAUAUCCAAAGGUUUUCACCGGGAUUUUCAAGAGCUCCUGAGCAAUUUAAAGUCCUUAAAAGGAAUGAACUAUAGAAUGAAAAAUAUAGGUAUUAUUUAAUAAUGUCUUCAAACUGAAAGCCAGCCAGUUUCAUAAAAAUGAGCUAAAAACCAAUAACAGGUACUCUGUCUCUUGCCGGAUGCUGUACGAAGCGUAUGUUUUGCAUUUUUGGAGUCACUUCUAAACCAAUGUUUUUUUCUUCACUGUUGCUGUUGGGAAAAACAGUAAAAGAACUAUGCAUAAAUGAGGCUAAAGUAAUCUCAUUAAAAAAAUAAACAGCGUGCUUUCAUCUUCAAUUCAUAUCCAGUCAUUUGGGAUCGAACUUUAAGAAAAAAUAGAUAAAAAUUCAGAAAGGAUUUUGAAGGAUGACUGUUUCCCUUUAAGAUUAAUGAUAAACAUACUUGCGUGUUCAAGGGAGAAUAGAUCCAGUGUUAUGUAACAGGAUAAAGAAACAAAAUCCUUUUUCCUUAAAUUAAAAUAACCAGUAUGUGUGUGGAUUUUAGUCAAUCACUGAAAAUUCAGGAAAACCAUUUUCUUUCACAAUUGCAUUCCACACACUAAAAUUGAUGUCUUGUAACUUUUAAACAGAAUCACAACAAUUAAAGACAAAAAAGAUUUGUUUGUUCUGUUCAACCAUGCUUUGCCAAUAGAGGAUUGUUCCCUGAGGAAAAUUCUGCAGCACUUGCCCUGUGCAAAAAUCCAAAUUUGUGCUCGUGUUUUUAUUUUACGUGGCAUUAGUAAAUCCAGUUAUUGCACUUCCCGUUUUUUUUUCUUUUUAAUCUGCUUACCUAGUACUAGAUGUAUGGUAACUUAUCUCUUUUAA
Molecule: long non-coding RNA, 2788 nt
Organism: Gavia stellata (red-throated loon)
Lineage: Eukaryota; Metazoa; Chordata; Aves; Gaviiformes; Gaviidae
Exons: 3
Source: RefSeq, a predicted model, not a curated record